AUUGAACGCUGGCGGCAGGCUUAACACAUGCAAGUCGAACGAGUGGCGGACGGGUGAGUAAUGCUUGGGAAUCUAGCUUAUGGAGGGGGAUAACUACGGGAAACUGUAGCUAAUACCGCGUACCAUAGGAUGAGCCCCGGUGGGAUUCGGUAGUUGGUUAGGUAACGGCUCACCAAGCCGACGAUCUCUAGCUGGUCUGUGAGGAUGAACAGGCACACUGGAAAGGAAACACGGCCCGGACUCCUACGGGAGGCAGCAGUGGGGAAUAGUGCGCAAUGGAGGGAACGUAACGCAGCCAUGCCGAGUGGAUGAAGAAGGCCAUCGGGUUGUAAAGGUCUUUCGGUAGCGAAGCUUUAACUACAGAAGAAGCACCGGCUAACUCCGUGCCAGCAGCCGCGGUAAUUC
Molecule: ribosomal RNA, 405 nt
Filed under: uncultured bacterium
Lineage: Bacteria
Description: partial 16S ribosomal RNA
Rfam family: Bacterial small subunit ribosomal RNA
Source: RNAcentral